RNAcentral lists this unclassified non-coding RNA (299 nucleotides) under plant metagenome. RNAcentral's name for it is "partial contains 5.8S ribosomal RNA, internal transcribed spacer 2, and large subunit ribosomal RNA". The stretch from base 1 to 105 matches the Rfam family "5.8S ribosomal RNA", at positions 50 to 154 of the family's 154-position model. The record is from RNAcentral.
GAAAUGCGAUAAGUAAUGUGAAUUGCAGAAUUCAGUGAAUCAUCGAAUCUUUGAACGCACAUUGCGCUCGCCAGUAUUCUGGCGAGCAUGCCUGUUCGAGCGUCAUUUCAACCAUCAAGCUCUGCUUGCGUUGGGGAUCCGCGGCUGCCAGCGGUCCCUCAAAAACAGUGGCGGGCUCGCUAGUCACACCGUGCGUAGUAACUCUACAUCGCUAUGGUCGUGCGGCGGGUUCUUGCCGUAAAACCCCCAAUUUCUAAGGUUGACCUCGGAUCAGGUAGGAAUACCCGCUGAACUUAAGC